AUAUUUGUUGAGCCUUGGGAACACAUUUAUUAAAGUGCGUGCGUGAUAUAUAUCAUAUUUAAUUAAAUUAAAUUUGAAUUUAUAUGAUUAUUGAUGAUAUAUUGAUAUGAGUCUAGGGAUGCAAAUGGAUCCGGGUUGGUGGAGCUCCUGCCACUAUCCACCCCAACGGGGGCAGUAAAUGAAAGAAAAUAAACGGAUUCGGGGUAGGAAACGGGAUAAAUUUUACGAUCCGAGACGGAUUCGGGGCAGAAAACGGGAGAAAUUUUGACCCGCCCCAAAUCCGCUCCGCCAUGAUCCGCUCCGAAUCCGUCCCGAAUCCGCCCUGAAAAUUAUUUAUAUUUUAAAAAAAAUAUUCUUAAAAAAUAAUAUAUUUACAAAAAAGUUCAAAAUACAAAUAAGUUAGUACUCUUAUUUCUAAUGUAUUUGAAACUUAUGAAUUUUGUUUUGAAUUAUGAUUGAUAUUUUUAAUUUUUAUAAUUAAUAUUGUUAAAUUAUAUAUAUAAUAUUAUUAAAAAUUAUUAUUUUAUAUUUUAUAAAAUAUUAAUAAUAUUAUAAUUUUAUAAAAAAUAUUAGUUGGCAGUAGAGAUUCGGGGCGCCGGCGGGAGGCGGGUUACGAGGCAGGGCGGAUUAUGGGAUGUAUUUUUUAACCAGUCACGGAUUCGGAGCAGAGUCUUUGUGUCGAUUGAUUGUUUUUUCUCUUUAU
This 703-nucleotide long non-coding RNA is filed under the name Ananas comosus (pineapple). RNAcentral's name for it is "long non-coding RNA (ACOM_LNC009051)". The record is from RNAcentral. Lineage: Eukaryota; Viridiplantae; Streptophyta; Magnoliopsida; Poales; Bromeliaceae.